Potamilus streckersoni is the source of this 81-nucleotide non-coding RNA. NCBI's taxonomy places the organism in Eukaryota, Metazoa, Mollusca, Bivalvia, Unionida, Unionidae. The record is from the annotation of a GenBank genome assembly.
GUUACCGAUCCGAUGGCCUAGUGGUUAGAGCGUCCGCCUAGGAUGUGGGUGGUCGCGGGUUUGAACUCCGGCCAAGUAAUA